Non-coding RNA from Myodes glareolus (Bank vole), 427 nucleotides. NCBI's taxonomy places the organism in Eukaryota, Metazoa, Chordata, Mammalia, Rodentia, Cricetidae. The record is from RefSeq and is a predicted model, not a curated record.
CUCUCAUCCAUGACCUGUCAGACCCUGUCUCCAUCUUUCUCAGAUUCCGUGUUGUGCUCCCUGAGAGGGAGGCUUGGCCGGCAUGCCCCAGGAUAAUAAGAGCACGGCACUGUACCGAGCAUCACAAGGAUGACAACUUAACCAUCGUGACCGGCUGAAAUGUGACGCCUGUUGACUAAAAUGUCCCCAUUUCUGCAGGGGAGGGACAUCCUCCUAUUCCAGGAUGCCAUGGUCAAAGAGUGCUCAGAUGAUGGAUGCGUGCAUGACGGAUGUUCCGACCACCGACACAAUGGGCCCAAAUCAGUUGGCUCAGAGAGUCUGGCUACCAGAGAAUUGUGCAUUUCAGCUCUGGGACUACUCCUGCUACCAUACUGACUGCUGAAACAAGUCCACUUUGUCUACGGGAAGAUGAGAUUCUACUGUCCAC